Molecule: unclassified non-coding RNA, 520 nt
Filed under: uncultured Glomus
Lineage: Eukaryota; Fungi; Glomeromycota; Glomeromycetes; Glomerales; Glomeraceae
Description: SSU rRNA
Rfam family: Eukaryotic small subunit ribosomal RNA
Source: RNAcentral
AGCAGCCGCGGUAAUUCCAGCUCCAAUAGCGUAUAUUAAAGUUGUUGCAAUUAAAAAGCUCGUAGUUGAAUCUCGAGAUCAAAUUGUUGGUCGUGCCUUGGUACGCACUGGCAUUAUUGGUUUCUCCCUUCUGACGAACCAUGAUGUCACUAAUUUGGUGUCUUGGGGAAUCAGGACUGUUACUUUGAAAAAAUUUAGAGUGUUUAAAGCAGGCUUACGCUUGAAUACAUUAGCAUGGAAUAAUGAAAUAGGACGUUUGAUUCUAUUUUGUUGGUUUCUAGGAUCGACGUAAUGAUUAAUAGGGAUAGUUGGGGGCAUUAGUAUUCAAUUGUCAGAGGUGAAAUUCUUGGAUUUAUUGAAGACUAACUACUGCGAAAGCAUUUGCCAAGGAUGUUUUCAUUAAUCAAGAACGAAAGUUAGGGGAUCGAAGACGAUCAGAUACCGUCGUAGUCUUAACCAUAAACUAUGCCGACUAGGGAUCGGAUGAUGUUAAUUUUUUCAAUGACUCAUUCGGCGCCUU